RNAcentral lists this unclassified non-coding RNA (359 nucleotides) under Zea mays. RNAcentral's name for it is "misc RNA Zm00001eb081830". Lineage: Eukaryota; Viridiplantae; Streptophyta; Magnoliopsida; Poales; Poaceae. The record is from RNAcentral.
AUUUCAAUGGGUCAAAGGAAAGACUUUGGGGUGUCUUUUUGUCAGGGAGAGAUCGUGACCCUCCCGUCGCUGACCUCCUUGGAUCUCCGAGAGUGUUUGGCUGCUACCCAUGCAAUGCCUGAGGUUGCCGAUGGCGAGGUGGUCAGUCUCCGAGCCCACUUGGUGGAGGUGGAUCGCCGUGUCACGGGUCAAUAUUGCCUUUUGCUUUUGCGGAGAUCCCUUUUUGGUUGUCUUGACAUCUCUUUGUCCUUUUCAGAACUAGAACUUGAGGCCGCGGGCCUCCACAAGGAUGCGAACGAGGUGGUCACCUUUGUUCGAGCCUAGGGCGUCGAUCGAGGAGAGCGCCUUCUCGAUGCCAC